This is a non-coding RNA of Euryarchaeota archaeon RBG_16_67_27, 73 nucleotides long. The record is from Rfam. Lineage: Archaea; Methanobacteriati; Methanobacteriota.
AGCCCCGUGGUGUAGCGGUCAAGCAUACGGGUCUUUGGAACCCGCGACGGCAGUUCGAAUCUGCCCGGGGCUA